GAAUUUAAAUAGAAAAUUAUAAAGAAAUAUUUAGUCAAAGGUAAACAUUAAAACCCAACCAGAUUUUUGAAGACCUAACUUCAAAAAUUAGAUAAAAAAUUUAUUCAUACAAAAAUUAAAUAUUAAUUCAAGUAUUAUAGAUCAAUAUUUUAAUAUUAAUAACAACAUUAUAAAUUAAUUUACAUACACACACUUUUCCCAGUACACCCCCAUUGAAAUCCGAAAUUAUUCUCUCUCUCUCUCUCUCUCUCCUUCAAAGGAUGCUGUCGUUGAAGAGCUACCGUUACCAGAGACCACCUUUGAGCGUCCUUGUGCCACCUUAUCAUUCCUAUCGCUGUUGCGAUUCGGUAGGGGGCUCAAUGGUGUGGCGUUGAUGGAGACCUUGGCUGCUGGUAUUGUUGGUGUGGCGAUGAGGGAUUACGGUGGUAAUGGUGGUGCUACAAGUGGUUAGUGCGGUGGUGGUGGAUUUGGUGGUGGAUAUAGCAUUUAGUUAGCGUCUAUCAUCAGUGCACGUUACGUUUCGGCUCCCCUAGAGUGAAUCAGGAUGGGUUGUAUUAGGUGGUACGUUGCGAUGACGGUGGCGGAUCUAACGGUGGCGAUGAGGCUUUGGUUUUGGUUGUUGGAGUGUUGGUUGUGAUUUCCAUAUUUUGUUGUUAUUUGGGGGUUCGGUUUCGUUGGUGGUGCUGGUGGAGGUGUUGGCCAUGGUAGUAGAUUUGAAAGAUGGCGGUGAUGAUGGCAGUGACGAGGAUAGUGGUGGUGGUGCGGAGACGGAUUGGGGUGGUGGUUUUUAUGACCAAUUAUUUGAGAUUGUAAUCAUUAAAUAAUAUGUGAUCGAUAAUUUGUGACCAAUAAAUAAUGUAAUCUAAAAAUUGAGUUGUGAUUUAUGAUUGAUGAAUAAAUUUUGACCCACAAUUUUUGAUUUGUGAUCAUGAAAGAAUUAGUAUCUUAUAAAAAAUUUUAUUCGUGAUCAAAAAAUAAUUUGUAAUAUAAAAAUUGUGAUCUUAAUAUAUAUAUAUAUAUA
RNAcentral lists this long non-coding RNA (1021 nucleotides) under Olea europaea (common olive). Its description in RNAcentral is "long non-coding RNA (OEUR_LNC004089)". The record is from RNAcentral. Lineage: Eukaryota; Viridiplantae; Streptophyta; Magnoliopsida; Lamiales; Oleaceae.